UGCUGAAGGCUUAUGUUAUGAUGACAAAAGAGUUUUAGGAUCCCUUUGGCCAUUGUGGUGCAAUCUGUCACUAGAUCCACAUAAAAGGUAAUUAUUAGUUCAGCUAUAAGGCAUCUAAUCUUGCUUGCUGGUUUCUCAUGUUAUAUGACAUCUACUAGGUUGUGAAAGGCUGGAAGUACACAAAAAUGAUAUGCAGUUACAAGUUGUUUCCAGUCAAUGCCUUCGGAACAGUUACCAAUGAUUUGCUGUUGUUCAACUCAGUCCCUCAUUAUUGUCAGACCGACACUCUGGUCUAGAAACCCAACUAAUGCAAGUGACGCGGUGAACUGUUCUUCCAUAGACAAAUUGAUCUGCAAGUCAGAAAGGGAUGGUAAUGAUACUAAUGAAGUAUGGAAUUAAUCACUGAAGUUGUUGGGGCUUUGAUUAAUUGCUGGACAAAUUAUACUACUGAAUUCAAGUAAAAAGAAAACUAUACCACUGAAAUUACACCAAGCAUCUGGUGAGUGAUCGCAUCAAUUUAUCAAUUCUUUUCAUGUGUUUCUACAAUCUCUGACAAAAGCUACAUACAUCUCUGCAUCUUAUUCAUGGAUCAGCAUUUCUUCAUUCCAUCUUCUGGAAUUUGGCGCAGGAUGCCAGUAUUUUUCACUUGCCAGUUUGUCAUUCUUACAGAUCUUGCGUUGACUCCACUUACAGUCAGUGUGCCAUUUUAUUUUAACCACAUGUCUGUGUAGAAGACCGUGAAGCUUGCAGCUUGCAGGGGCUUGCAGUAUUAACCAAAUUAACAUGGCACAUGGGCCGUAAUUUCUCGAUGCACAUGAGAGUUGUCGGCGUCAUUUCUGUCAAUGGAAGAUGGCACCGGCGGUGCUUCCGGUGCCAAGCUUGGCAUGUGUACGUACCGUAUGCUCAGAGGUAAAGGAAACUGCGUCUUAGCUUCCCUUUGUUUAAUACGGCUCUUCUCGGAAUUUAUUCCUUGGGUUUUAUGAUAUGCUUGAUAGGGGAAAAAUUACUUUCAAACAAUAUUGGAUAUGAGCAUGAUUUGCCAAGGGAUUUAACGAGUGAAGGGCGAGGUCGGUUAUGUCUGGUACCCGAGAGUUUUCACUCCCUCUGUUAUUUUUUUAUUUAUCGUUUAAUUUGCAGAUCGACAAAUCGUUUAAUUCACGUGUUUGAUCAGUAUAUUUUUACGUGAUAAAAAAGACAUUUUAAACACAGAAUUACUAAACUGCUUUUUGAGGUCUGUCUUCCACUCUUCAUACAUGAUGACUACGUAUUGUGAGUCAGAAAUAUCUUUUGGUUUUCGGUCGAAGCCCAGGGCGGUCCAUCGAAAAAAGCUGGGCCAUGGUCUUGAUUCUUUUUUGGGCUGUUCUGCUCCUGCACGAUUUGAGUCUUGGCCAACACAGGCUACGGCCAUUUUAGGUCUCUCAAUUAAGGCUACAUCCAUAGUCCAUUUUAGGAGGUUUUUACCUGUAUGCCAUUAAGAAAGAUGGUGCUUGUCUCUGUGCCACUAAAAAGUUCGAGCCUCCCUCUAUGCCAUCGUUGAACUUUACUGCGCUCUCCACACCAUUCCGUCACUAUUUUGUUAAGGUUCACCUAUUUGGCAGCUCUGACAUGUGGGGGCUCGCGUGUGGGAGGGUAACCAAGGACAGCCUACCAAACCCUCUCUACCUCAUCCACCACCACGUCCAAUCCUUCGGUCCUUCCACCCUAUCCGUGAGGACAAGCUCGGCCGCCGCGUCCCCGCCAUCAACGCGGUACCGGCGACGGAGGAGCCAGCCGACAACGCAGCGAUGCUCCAUCCGUUGUAGCAUCCUCUCACCAAGCUCACGCCGCCGUGGCGCCCAGAAGCUGCUACCAGCGCUAACUUUCCCCACCACCAUGGCGGUCACCGCGCAUGCUCCGCUCCGUGUGGCGGGCUCGCCCGUCGCCGCUGGCGCUCUGCUCCGCCGCCACUGCUCUGCUCGCCGAGGCCACCCUCUCUCUCGCAAUGGCGGCAGCAUCAUCAAUGUCAUGGCUUCCUAUUCGACUAUGCGCCAACCGCCACAGUGCCUGCCUCUACUUCCAUGCCCACCGCUGUGGCGCCAUCUGCUCCCGGCUCGCCAUUGCCACGUCACCCCUUCUCCAGUUUCGCCGCGCCACCGCACCGCCCGUCGCCGCCCGCUCUUUCCCACCUCACCCCACCAACCCUAUGAGGAGAAUAAUGAGAAAGAUAGAGAGGAGGAAGGGAGAGAAGAGGGGAAAUAGAUGACGACGAUGUGGUGACCCUGAUGUGUGGGGCCCAUGUUGAGUCAGCUGCCACGUCGGAUAAAACCGGAGUCAAAACCGUCGAGGGACCUAGUUUUUACUGGUUUUGUAAGUUGGAGGAUGUGUUGUAUCCGGUGUUGCGGUUGGGGGACGAUUUUGUAACUCGAUGAUAAGUUGAGGGAGCUUCGGUGUACUUAUCCACAAAAAAAAAAAACCAGGCGUGAACUGGGCCUGCAGCAGCUUGGGCUCGAUGCCCAGGCUGCGGACGAUGGGAAAAAAACCAGGCGUGAAGAGAGAAGCCCAACCCGUGGCUUAUGGGACGAUGGGAAACUGGAGCCCUCGAUCUCUCCCCCUCACCUUGUCGCUUCCUCCUCCCCCGACGCCGCCGCUUCCCCAAUUCCGGCUCCGGCGGCGAGCAGCAGGCUGCGGACGCGCCGUCGAAGCUCCAGGAGGAUGUGGAUCUCCGGUGUAGUCUCCGUGGCAUGCCUACAUCGGCGGCGCGAAUAUUCAGCACCGGCUUAGAUCGAUGGCGCCCCUCGCCGCCGGGCUUCCGUGGAGAGCAGGUAUGCUUCCGCCUCUACUCCUAGGUCGGUCUGCGCCGCUGUUCUUUGGCUCCGACUGAAUCCAUCCAACAAUUAGUUUUGUACCAUAUCGCCGAUUCUGAGACAACACGACCUGUUUAUUAGCUCGAUUUGAUUCCAUUCCAUCGCCACCCCAGAGGCACCCACCCCGACUGCAAUGGGCAGCGGUAGGGCGUGUAUCCGCACUACCGUUUCAGCUGCAAAAAAAAAAAAAAAGCAGUGAAAAGAUCCCCUACUGGGGCACGGCAGGCGACCCCCUGCCAAAAAGAUGCCCUAUAGAGGCACACAGUCGGGUCUCUCGGUGGAGGCAGCGCUAGACACUAGCGCUUGGCUUUUUGAAAUUUGUAACAUUAGAUUUUUUUCCCCUGUUGAACUCAUAGCUACUCAUGGGAUAAUUGAACCAAUUGCAAAAAUAGUUCGAUUACUUCGUAACACUCCUCCAUAUACAACAUACUCCAUGCGCACAAUAAUCUGAAAACCGUUUCAUAAGCAGAGAGAGAAGCUUAAUGUCUUCAAACAUUAUUAAGAUAGGGUAGGAGAGGAGAUGUGAUAGUAUAUAGACUGAUCAUCCAAUAAUUUCAGUAGAUGUUUGACUGAAACAUCCAAUAUUUUCAGCGAGUUGUCUGAAGAUGUGAAUACCAAGGUUCCAAAUGACUAGCGGCAAGAUCAGGUAUGUGCAGACGACCUCCGAGACUGAACCAAACUCAUCCAGGCAUGGAAUGCGGAAAAAAAAUAGACCAUAGCUCAUCUCGGCAUGAAUGAAGAAUCUCACAUUUUGAAGAGUCUUUUUGAUGCUCAGGGAUUCAUGUAAGCAAUUAUUUCUUAUCCCUAACACAAAUAAUUUGUCUCGGCUUUUGUUUCUGAAAAUGAUAUUUUUUUUCCAUUUUUCUCAGAGUGCAAUUAAUCACGAUGCCAUAAUGCAUGCUAAUGAUGACCAGAAGCUUGACGCCAAUCGGAAGUCAUGAUAGUUUUUUUUGGUUGCUAGUUCGACUGGUAAGAGCUGGUGCUGCCGAGACACCAUCCUCAGUGUUCUUGAAGUUUAAGUCAACACUCAAUAGGCAUUGGUUUAUUUAGUUCUUCUCAGCCAUCAGAAACUUCAAAUAGCAGGGCCAAAGUCUGCAAACUUUUAGGUAGGAUGCACUUAGAACAUCUCUUGCAUAUUCGCUACAAAGAAAAAGAUGAUCUAGGGACUAGCUUCUAAUCACACACCAAGUUUAUCAUAGAAAGGUCAUGCAUCAAGCUCUUCUACUAGGAACAUUAUCAUGCAACCUCAAGUCCUAAUUUACCAAUAUGCACCUUCAGGCUUCAGCCAGCUCAACAAGCAUUAACCAGGCAUUUUAAGAACUCCAUUAUGUCCAAGGAUAUGCUGCUAUUUAAGAAUCUGCUGAAGGAAAUAGCAAUGUUGCAAAGAUGCAAAAAUGAUGCAACAUGGAUGCUCAAACCUUACUACCAGUAAUUUUAGCUGUACUUGAGUGGAACAAUAUUUGGCUAGGUCUGGUGUGCUGCAUAAAUUAGUUUCAUUCAGAUAGGACAUGCAAAUUAGAGAUAGGGGGAAUGUUUCCAACAUCUUUUUGAAACCUUUUGGCAUUGCUGACUGAUUCUUUUUGUAAGAAAGGAACAAAUCUGAAACAAGAGCAUGUUAGGUGA
Molecule: non-coding RNA, 4466 nt
Organism: Oryza sativa Japonica Group (Japanese rice)
Lineage: Eukaryota; Viridiplantae; Streptophyta; Magnoliopsida; Poales; Poaceae
Source: RefSeq, a predicted model, not a curated record